RNAcentral lists this ribosomal RNA (450 nucleotides) under uncultured bacterium. RNAcentral's name for it is "bacterial SSU rRNA". It matches the Rfam family "Bacterial small subunit ribosomal RNA", at positions 330 to 797 of the family's 1533-position model. The record is from RNAcentral.
CCCAGACUCCUACGGGAGGCAGCAGUGGGGAAUAUUGCACAGUGGGGGAAACCCUGAUGCAGCGACGCCGCGUGAGCGAAGAAGUAUUUCGGUAUGUAAAGCUCUAUCAGCAGGGAAGAAAAAAAUGACGGUACCUGAGUAAGAAGCACCGGCUAAAUACGUGCCAGCAGCCGCGGUAAUACGUAUGGUGCAAGCGUUAUCCGGAUUUACUGGGUGUAAAGGGAGCGUAGGCGGCGCGUUAAGUCUGAUGUGAAAACCCGAGGCUCAACCACGGGAGUGCAUUGGAAACUGGCGGGCUGGAGUGCCGGAGAGGUAAGCGGAAUUCCUAGUGUAGCGGUGAAAUGCGUAGAUAUUAGGAGGAACACCAGUGGCGAAGGCGGCUUACUGGACGGCAACUGACGCUGAGGCUCGAAAGCGUGGGGAGCGAACAGGAUUAGAUACCCCAGUACA